UACGGAGGGGGCUAGCGUUGUUCGGAAUUACUGGGCGUAAAGGGCAUGUAGGCGGUUUUGUAAGUUAGACGUGAAAUCCCCGGGCUUAACCUGGGAACUGCGUAUAAGACUGCAAGACUAGAGUACGGGAGAGGAUAAGGGAAUUUCUAGUGUAGAGGUGAAAUUCGUAGAUAUUAGAAGGAACACCAGUUGCGAAGGCGCUUAUCUGGCCCGUUACAGACGCUAAGAUGCGAAAGCGUGGGGAGCAAACAGG
Molecule: ribosomal RNA, 253 nt
Filed under: uncultured bacterium
Lineage: Bacteria
Description: partial 16S ribosomal RNA
Rfam family: Bacterial small subunit ribosomal RNA
Source: RNAcentral